This 508-nucleotide ribosomal RNA is filed under the name uncultured bacterium. RNAcentral's name for it is "partial 16S ribosomal RNA". It matches the Rfam family "Bacterial small subunit ribosomal RNA", at positions 29 to 523 of the family's 1533-position model. The record is from RNAcentral.
AUUGAACGCUGGCGGCAUGCUUUACACAUGCAAGUCGAACGGUAACAGGCCGCAAGGUGCUGACGAGUGGCGAACGGGUGAGUAAUGCAUCGGAACGUGCCCAGUCGUGGGGGAUAACGCAGCGAAAGCUGCGCUAAUACCGCAUACGAUCUAAGGAUGAAAGCGGGGGACCCUGUAGCAAUAUGGGGCCUCGCGCGAUUGGAGCGGCCGAUGUCAGAAUAGCUAGUUGGUGGGGUAAAGGCCCACCAAGGCGACGAUCUGUAGCUGGUCUGGGAGGGCGACCAGCCACACUGGGACUGAGACACGGCCCAGACUCCUACGGGAGGCAGCAGUGGGGAAUUUUGGACAAUGGGCGCAAGCCUGAUCCAGCAAUGCCGCGUGCAGGAAGAAGGCCUUCGGGUUGUAAACUGCUUUUGUACGGAACGAAACGGUCUGGGUCAAUACCCUGGGCUAAUGACGGUACCGUAAGAAUAAGCACCGGCUAACCACGUGCCAGCAGCCGCAGUAA